This 407-nucleotide ribosomal RNA is filed under the name uncultured bacterium. RNAcentral's name for it is "bacterial SSU rRNA". It matches the Rfam family "Bacterial small subunit ribosomal RNA", at positions 28 to 438 of the family's 1533-position model. The record is from RNAcentral.
GAUGAACGCUAGCGGCAGGCUUAACACAUGCAAGUCGAGGGGUAUUGGUUUUUCGGACCAAGAGACCGGCGCACGGGUGCGUAACGCGUAUGCAAUCUACCUUUUGCAGAGGGAUAGCCCCAGAGAAAUUUGGAUUAAUACCUCAUAGUAUAGUACUUUGGCAUCAAGGAACUAUUAAAGUCACAACGGCAAAGAUGAGCAUGCGUCCAUUAGCUAGUUGGUAAGGUAACGGCUUACCAAGGCUACGAUGGGUAGGGGUCUGAGAGGGAGAUCCCCACACUGGUACUGAGACACGGACCAGACUCCUACGGGAGGCAGCAGUGAGGAAUAUUGGACAAAUGGGCGCAAGCCUGAUCCAGCCAUGCCGCGUGCAGGAUGACGGUCCUAUGGAUUGUAAACUGCUUUUA